This is a long non-coding RNA of Grus americana (Whooping crane), 558 nucleotides long. RefSeq lists it as uncharacterized. Lineage: Eukaryota; Metazoa; Chordata; Aves; Gruiformes; Gruidae. The transcript is spliced from 3 exons. The record is from RefSeq and is a predicted model, not a curated record.
UGAAGCUAAAAAAAUGGGAACUGAAGCAGCUAAAAUACCAAAAAAAUCCAAUUUCUUCACACAAGCGAUUUACAUUUUUCUGCUUGGGAAGUCUUUAGUGGUUAAGAUGAAUGUGAAAAGUAGAUGUACUUCAAGCUGGGAACUUCAUGUACUACUACAAGUAAGACUGAAAAUCGUGUAUGUGACGUUUCCAUAGACGUGUAAUGUGCCAUGGUCUUCAGAAGUAUGCAGGUAUGAAAAAUUAUUUUAAUUAAACUUUAUUAUGUAAAUCUCAUGACAUAAUUUAUAAGAAGAGAAAAGUAGAUUUUUAGGUAGGAUAAAAUAUGUGUUCCCCUUCAUCAUUGUCGUGGUUUAGCCCAAGCCAGCAGCUCAGCCCCACACAGCCGCUUGCUCACUCCCCCACAGUGGGAUGGGGGAGAGAAUCAGAAGAGUAAAAGUGAGAAAACUCGUGGGUUGAGAUAAAGACAGUUUAAUAGGUAAAGCAAAAGACGCGCACGCAAGCAAAGCAAACCAAGGAAUUCAUUCACCACUUCCCAUGGGCAGGCGGGUGUUCAGCCA